RNAcentral lists this ribosomal RNA (241 nucleotides) under uncultured bacterium. Its description in RNAcentral is "partial 16S ribosomal RNA". It matches the Rfam family "Bacterial small subunit ribosomal RNA", at positions 15 to 248 of the family's 1533-position model. The record is from RNAcentral.
GAUCAUGGCUCAGGAUAAACGCUGGCGGCGCACAUAAGACAUGCAAGUCGAACGGACUUAACCAUUAGUUUACUAUUGGAGCGGUUAGUGGCGGACUGGUGAGUAACACGUAAGCAACCUGCCUACCAGAGGGGAACAACAGUUAGAAAUGACUGCUAAUACCACAUAUGCCUAAGUACCACAUGGUACAAUAGGGAAAGGGGUAAUCCGCUGAUAGAUGGGCUUGCGUCUGAUUAGAUAG